RNAcentral lists this ribosomal RNA (253 nucleotides) under uncultured bacterium. Its description in RNAcentral is "partial 16S ribosomal RNA". It matches the Rfam family "Bacterial small subunit ribosomal RNA", at positions 524 to 776 of the family's 1533-position model. The record is from RNAcentral.
UACGUAGGGUGCUAGCGUUAAUCGGAAUUACUGGGCGUAAAGCGUGCGCAGGCGGUUUUGUAAGUCAGAUGUGAAAGCCCCGGGCUUAACCUGGGAAUGGCAUUUGGGACUGCAAGGCUUGAGUGCGGCAGAGGAGACUGGAAUUCCUGGUGUAGCAGUGAAAUGCGUAGAUAUCAGGAGGAAUACCGAUGGCGAAGGCAGGUCUCUGGGCUGACACUGACGCUCAUGCACGAAAGCGUGGGGAGCAAACAGG